RNAcentral lists this ribosomal RNA (2992 nucleotides) under Salmonella enterica subsp. enterica. RNAcentral describes it as "23S ribosomal RNA". It matches the Rfam family "Bacterial large subunit ribosomal RNA". Lineage: Bacteria; Pseudomonadati; Pseudomonadota; Gammaproteobacteria; Enterobacterales; Enterobacteriaceae. The record is from RNAcentral.
GGUUAAGCGACUAAGCGUACACGGUGGAUGCCCUGGCAGUCAGAGGCGAUGAAGGGCGUGCUAAUCUGCGAUAAGCGCCGGUAAGGUGAUAUGAACCGUUAUAACCGGCGAUACCCGAAUGGGGAAACCCAGUGUGACUCGUCACACUAUCAUUAACUGAAUCCAUAGGUUAAUGAGGCGAACCGGGGGAACUGAAACAUCUAAGUACCCCGAGGAAAAGAAAUCAACCGAGAUUCCCCCAGUAGCGGCGAGCGAACGGGGAGGAGCCCAGAGCCUGAAUCAGCAUGUGUGUUAGUGGAAGCGUCUGGAAAGGCGCGCGAUACAGGGUGACAGCCCCGUACACAAAAGCGCAUGUGCUGUGAGCUCGAUGAGUAGGGCGGGACACGUGGUAUCCUGUCUGAAUAUGGGGGGACCAUCCUCCAAGGCUAAAUACUCCUGACUGACCGAUAGUGAACCAGUACCGUGAGGGAAAGGCGAAAAGAACCCCGGCGAGGGGAGUGAAAAAGAACCUGAAACCGUGUACGUACAAGCAGUGGGAGCACAGGUUUACCUGUGUGACUGCGUACCUUUUGUAUAAUGGGUCAGCGACUUAUAUUCUGUAGCAAGGUUAACCGAAUAGGGGAGCCGGAGGGAAACCGAGUCUUAAUUGGGCGUUAAGUUGCAGGGUAUAGACCCGAAACCCGGUGAUCUAGCCAUGGGCAGGUUGAAGGUUGGGUAACACUAACUGGAGGACCGAACCGACUAAUGUUGAAAAAUUAGCGGAUGACCUGUGGCUGGGGGUGAAAGGCCAAUCAAACCGGGAGAUAGCUGGUUCUCCCCGAAAGCUAUUUAGGUAGCGCCUCGUGAAUUCAUCUCCGGGGGUAGAGCACUGUUUCGGCUAGGGGGCCAUCCCGGCUUACCAACCCGAUGCAAACUGCGAAUACCGGAGAAUGUUAUCACGGGAGACACACGGCGGGUGCUAACGUCCGUCGUGAAGAGGGAAACAACCCAGACCGCCAGCUAAGGUCCCAAAGUCAUGGUUAAGUGGGAAACGAUGUGGGAAGGCCCAGACAGCCAGGAUGUUGGCUUAGAAGCAGCCAUCAUUUAAAGAAAGCGUAAUAGCUCACUGGUCGAGUCGGCCUGCGCGGAAGAUGUAACGGGGCUAAACCAUGCACCGAAGCUGCGGCAGCGAACGUAUCACCCAAGACAACUUUGCGGAGUUGACGAUUGACGGAGCGAAGCGACGUCAAAGCGUUCAUUAAAGUCGAGUUGGCUUAGGGAUACGUUCGUUGGGUAGGGGAGCGUUCUGUAAGCCUGUGAAGGUGGCCUGUGAGGGUUGCUGGAGGUAUCAGAAGUGCGAAUGCUGACAUAAGUAACGAUAAAGCGGGUGAAAAGCCCGCUCGCCGGAAGACCAAGGGUUCCUGUCCAACGUUAAUCGGGGCAGGGUGAGUCGACCCCUAAGGCGAGGCCGAAAGGCGUAGUCGAUGGGAAACGGGUUAAUAUUCCCGUACUUGGUGUUACUGCGAAGGGGGGACGGAGAAGGCUAUGUUGGCCGGGCGACGGUUGUCCCGGUUUAAGCGUGUAGGUGUGUGUUCCAGGUAAAUCCGGUUCACUUUAACACUGAGGCGUGACGACGAGGCACUACGGUGCUGAAGCAACAAAUGCCCUGCUUCCAGGAAAAGCCUCUAAGCAUCAGGUAACAUCAAAUCGUACCCCAAACCGACACAGGUGGUCAGGUAGAGAAUACCAAGGCGCUUGAGAGAACUCGGGUGAAGGAACUAGGCAAAAUGGUGCCGUAACUUCGGGAGAAGGCACGCUGACACGUAGGUGAAGUGAUUUACUCAUGGAGCUGAAGUCAGUCGAAGAUACCAGCUGGCUGCAACUGUUUAUUAAAAACACAGCACUGUGCAAACACGAAAGUGGACGUAUACGGUGUGACGCCUGCCCGGUGCCGGAAGGUUAAUUGAUGGGGUCAGCGCAAGCGAAGCUCCUGAUCGAAGCCCCGGUAAACGGCGGCCGUAACUAUAACGGUCCUAAGGUAGCGAAAUUCCUUGUCGGGUAAGUUCCGACCUGCACGAAUGGCGUAAUGAUGGCCAGGCUGUCUCCACCCGAGACUCAGUGAAAUUGAACUCGCUGUGAAGAUGCAGUGUACCCGCGGCAAGACGGAAAGACCCCGUGAACCUUUACUAUAGCUUGACACUGAACAUUGAGCCUUGAUGUGUAGGAUAGGUGGGAGGCUUUGAAGCGUGGACGCCAGUCUGCGUGGAGCCGACCUUGAAAUACCACCCUUUAAUGUUUGAUGUUCUAACGUGGACCCGUAAUCCGGGUUGCGGACAGUGUCUGGUGGGUAGUUUGACUGGGGCGGUCUCCUCCUAAAGAGUAACGGAGGAGCACGAAGGUUGGCUAAUCCUGGUCGGACAUCAGGAGGUUAGUGCAAUGGCAUAAGCCAGCUUGACUGCGAGCGUGACGGCGCGAGCAGGUGCGAAAGCAGGUCAUAGUGAUCCGGUGGUUCUGAAUGGAAGGGCCAUCGCUCAACGGAUAAAAGGUACUCCGGGGAUAACAGGCUGAUACCGCCCAAGAGUUCAUAUCGACGGCGGUGUUUGGCACCUCGAUGUCGGCUCAUCACAUCCUGGGGCUGAAGUAGGUCCCAAGGGUAUGGCUGUUCGCCAUUUAAAGUGGUACGCGAGCUGGGUUUAGAACGUCGUGAGACAGUUCGGUCCCUAUCUGCCGUGGGCGCUGGAGAACUGAGGGGGGCUGCUCCUAGUACGAGAGGACCGGAGUGGACGCAUCACUGGUGUUCGGGUUGUCAUGCCAAUGGCACUGCCCGGUAGCUAAAUGCGGAAGAGAUAAGUGCUGAAAGCAUCUAAGCACGAAACUUGCCCCGAGAUGAGUUCUCCCUGAGACUUUAGGUCUCCUGAAGGAACGUUGAAGACGACGACGUUGAUAGGCCGGGUGUGUAAGCGCAGCGAUGCGUUGAGCUAACCGGUACUAAUGAACCGUGAGGCUUAACCUU